GCCACCUAUGAUAGACUGAGGGGAUGUCUUUAUGGAUUGAUGUUGAAGAUGUUCCAGAGCAGGCUGAAGAUGACCAACAUGAGGCAAUAUAUUCCAAUGUGAUCAACCUGACUACCCAGAAGGAAGAUGAUUUUGUCAUUUAUACCAAUGUGCCCCGCUUCCAGUGCCCCCGGAAAAUCUCCCCUAUUGUCACCUAGGCUCCGGACCAAGUGGAACAUGCUUCCAUUGUAUUCCUCUGAUGGGAGACCAGAAGAAUGUUCUGGAAUGAGUUGACAAAGGUGGUGGCUUGAUUAUUAUUUGCUUAUUGAUUAGCAUGAUGAGAUGUAUUUUUUUUUAAACUUCUUACCAGUUCUCAUACUC
Molecule: long non-coding RNA, 360 nt
Filed under: Monodelphis domestica (gray short-tailed opossum)
Lineage: Eukaryota; Metazoa; Chordata; Mammalia; Didelphimorphia; Didelphidae
Description: lncRNA (ENSMODG00000041113.1)
Source: RNAcentral